GAAACGGGAUUACAUAUAAAAUCUAGAGAGAAGCAUUCUCAGGAACUUCUUUGUGAUGUUUGCAUUCAAGUCACAGAAUUGAACAUUCCCUUUCAUAGAGCAGGUUUGAAACACUCUUUCUGUAGUAUCUGCAAGCGGACGUUUCAAGCGCUUUCAGGCCUAUGGUGAGAAAGGAAAUAUCUUCAAAUAAAAACUAGACAGAAGCAUUCUCAGAAACUUGUU
RNAcentral lists this long non-coding RNA (222 nucleotides) under Homo sapiens (human). Its description in RNAcentral is "HSALNT0352189". Lineage: Eukaryota; Metazoa; Chordata; Mammalia; Primates; Hominidae. The record is from RNAcentral.